GACGAACGCUGGCGGCGUGCUUAACACAUGCAAGUCGAACGGGAAGGCCCUACUUUUGUGGGGUGCUCGGGUGCCGAACGGGGGAGUAAGACGUGGGUAACCUGCCCUGUACUUUGGGAUAACUUCAGGAAACUAGGCCUAAUACCGGAUAUGAGCUUCUGCUGGAUGGUAGGCGGUUGAAAGUUUCGGCGGGUGGGGAUGGACUCGCGGCUUAUCAGCUUGCUGGUGUGGUAGUGGCUUACCAAGGCUUGGACGGGUAGCCGGCCUGAGAGGGUGACCGGCCACAUUGGGACUGAGAGAGGGAACAGAAUCCUAAUCUGGGCAGCAGUGGAGAAUAUUGCACAAUGGGCGGAGGCCUGCCGCAGCCACGCCGCGUGCGGGAUGACGCCCUUCGGGUUGUGAAGCGCUUUCGCCUGUGACGAAGCGUGCGUGACGGUAAUGGGCAAAGAAGCACCGGCUAACUACGUG
RNAcentral lists this ribosomal RNA (468 nucleotides) under uncultured bacterium. Its description in RNAcentral is "partial 16S ribosomal RNA". It matches the Rfam family "Bacterial small subunit ribosomal RNA", at positions 28 to 507 of the family's 1533-position model. The record is from RNAcentral.